This is a long non-coding RNA of Tachysurus vachellii, 1210 nucleotides long. RefSeq lists it as uncharacterized. The record is from RefSeq and is a predicted model, not a curated record. The transcript is spliced from 14 exons. Lineage: Eukaryota; Metazoa; Chordata; Actinopteri; Siluriformes; Bagridae.
UUUAGACUGUAAAAGUGGGUGUGGUUUAAGGGUCCGUUAUAAAGACUCAUCGCCCCUUCAGUCGGCCAUUUCCCCUGCAGCUCACACUGAGGUUUUGUGCAGUGGAUACAGUUGAGGCCAAAAGCAUUGGAGGUGACGUAAAGGUUUGGGUUUUGCAAAGUUUGCUGCUUAAGCUGUUGUUCAUGCACGUUGUUUCUAGAUUAUUGUGCAGAGUGAUCAGAUGGAUCCCCACCAAACUUCCCUGGUUUUGACCCUGGCAUAAAAUAACCAGCUAACCUCCAUUUCUCUAAUCAGCACUACCAUACUGAUUGGAUUUUAAGAGCAGAUUGAUUAUUAUAAAAUUAGGUAAAGUUCUUCCAAUCAUUGUAUUCUUGUUAGCAAUGGUCCAAAGAGAGAACCUCAAGGACCAACUAAAAUUUUGCACAAAAUAUAAUGAUUGGUGCAAAGUUAUCUCAGAAGUUUCCCUUCUGACUGUUUGGGACAUCGGUAAAAUGUAUUGUCCAGAAAAGAGCUGAAGAUGUAAACUUUUAAAAUGUAUGAAAUGCACGUCACUGUUUUCCAGUGUUCUGUAAUAACAUGUAGAAACUAUCUUCAAACACUGAAGCAGCAAACAUUGCAAAAUAAUAUGCAUCACUUCCAAAGCUCUUGGCUCUGAUUGUACAGCAGCUGAACAGCUUUUUUGGACUUCCUGGACCAGUUUACUGACCCAAAUGAGAUGUUUCUCAACCUUCUCAAUGGCCUGGUGUGCGUUGUGCCCAUUUUGGCCCCAGAAUCCAUGUUUUUGAAAGACUUUCACUGAUGCUGUUCAAGGCGAACACACAUCAGUGAUCAUGGCUUCGACCGGUGAUGUGUUCCCUGAAACACUGAGGGUGUUUUCAGAUUGGAGAUUUCAUCGCUUUGAAUCUCUAAUCAGCGUUUCAUGCCAAAUCUUGUGCCCUGAUGGGUUUCUAUUUUAAAACAGAACUGGAUGAUCUAUUGUGGUUUUCAGGGUUAUCCUGGCAGUUUGUCUUACACAGCUGAAGGUCUGGGUGAACUAGGCACUGUUUGAGAGGAAACCUUUCCUUGAUCAGGAUGUACUACAAAGAUCCUGGAGUGCUGCCCUAGACAAGGUCCUCUCUAAAUAGAACUGAGCAACUUGGUGCUGUGGAGGUCAUGGACAUGAAGUUAUGCCUACAAAUGCUGUCAGAACUUAAUAAAGCUCUUGAGUGAA